GAUGAACGCUGGCGGCGUGCCUAAUACAUGCAAGUCGAGCGAACGGACGAGAAGCUUGCUUCUCUGAUGUUAGCGGCGGACGGGUGAGUAACACGUGGAUAACCUACCUAUAAGACUGGGAUAACUUCGGGAAACCGGAGCUAAUACCGGAUAAUAUUUUGAACCGCAUGGUUCAAAAGUGAAAGACGGUCUUGCUGUCACUUAUAGAUGGAUCCGCGCUGCAUUAGCUAGUUGGUAAGGUAACGGCUUACCAAGGCAACGAUGCAUAGCCGACCUGAGAGGGUGAUCGGCCACACUGGAACUGAGACACGGUCCAGAUUCCUACGGGAGGCAGCAGUAGGGAAUCUUCCGCAAUGGGCGAAAGCCUGACGGAGCAACGCCGCGUGAGUGAUGAAGGUCUUCGGAUCGUAAAACUCUGUUAUUAGGGAAGAACAUAUGUGUAAGUAACUGUGCACAUCUUGACGGUACCUAAUCAGAAAGCCACGGCUAACUACGUGCCAGCAGCCGCGGUAAUACGUAGGUGGCAAGCGUUAUCCGGAAUUAUUGGGCGUAAAGCGCGCGUAGGCGGUUUUUUAAGUCUGAUGUGAAAGCCCACGGCUCAACCGUGGAGGGUCAUUGGAAACUGGAAAACUUGGGUGCAGAAGAGGAAAGUGGAAUUCCAUGUGUAGCGGUGAAAUGCGCAGAGAUAUGGAGGAACACCAGUGGCGAAGGCGACUUUCUGGUCUGUAACUGACGCUGAUGUGCGAAAGCGUGGGGAUCAAACAGGAUUAGAUACCCUGGUAGUCCACGCCGUAAACGAUGAGUGCUAAGUGUUAGGGGGUUUCCGCCCCUUAGUGCUGCAGCUAACGCAUUAAGCACUCCGCCUGGGGAGUACGACCGCAAGGUUGAAACUCAAAGGAAUUGACGGGGACCCGCACAAGCGGUGGAGCAUGUGGUUUAAUUCGAAGCAACGCAAAGAACCUUACCAAAUCUUGACAUCCUUUGACAACUCUAGAGAUAGAGCUUUCCCCUUCGGGGGACAAAGUGACAGGUGGUGCAUGGUUGUCGUCAGCUCGUGUCGUGAGAUGUUGGGUUAAGUCCCGCAACGAGCGCAACCCUUAAGCUUAGUUGCCAUCAUUAAGUUGGGCACUCUAAGUUGACUGCCGGUGACAAACCGGAGGAAGGUGGGGAUGACGUCAAAUCAUCAUGCCCCUUAUGAUUUGGGCUACACACGUGCUACAAUGGACAAUACAAAGGGCAGCGAAACCGUGAGGUCAAGCAAAUCCCAUAAAGUUGUUCUCAGUUCGGAUUGUAGUCUGCAACUCGACUACAUGAAGCUGGAAUCGCUAGUAAUCGUAGAUCAGCAUGCUACGGUGAAUACGUUCCCGGGUCU
Molecule: ribosomal RNA, 1372 nt
Filed under: uncultured bacterium
Lineage: Bacteria
Description: bacterial SSU rRNA
Rfam family: Bacterial small subunit ribosomal RNA
Source: RNAcentral